RNAcentral lists this ribosomal RNA (452 nucleotides) under uncultured organism. RNAcentral describes it as "partial 16S ribosomal RNA". It matches the Rfam family "Bacterial small subunit ribosomal RNA", at positions 333 to 801 of the family's 1533-position model. The record is from RNAcentral.
ACACUCCUGCGGGAGGCAGCAGUGGGGAAUAUUGGACAAUGGGCGCAAGCCUGAUCCAGCCAUGCCGCGUGAGUGAUGAAGGCCCUAGGGUUGUAAAGCUCUUUCACCGGUGAAGAUAAUGACGGUAACCGGAGAAGAAGCCCCGACUAACUUCGUGCCAGCAGCCGCGGUAAUACGAAGGGGGCUAGCGUUGUUCGGAUUUACUGGGCGUAAAGCGCACGUAGGCGGACUAUUAAGUCAGGGGUGAAAUCCCGGGGCUCAACCCCGGAACUGCCUUUGAUACUGGUAGUCUUGAGUUCGAGAGAGGUGAGUGGAAUUCCGAGUGUAGAGGUGAAAUUCGUAGAUAUUCGGAGGAACACCAGUGGCGAAGGCGGCUCACUGGCUCGAUACUGACGCUGAGGUGCGAAAGCGUGGGGAGCAAACAGGAUUAGAAACCCCUGUAGUCCCAUGAU